CCUACGGGAGGCAGCAGUGGGGAAUCUUGCGCAAUGGGCGAAAGCCUGACGCAGCCAUGCCGCGUGAAUGAUGAAGGUCUUAGGAUUGUAAAAUUCUUUCAGUAGGGACGAUAAUGACGGUACCUACAGAAGAAGCCCCGGCUAACUUCGUGCCAGCAGCCGCGGUAAUACGAAGGGGGCUAGCGUUGCUCGGAAUUACUGGGCGUAAAGGGAGCGUAGGCGGGUUAUCAAGUUGGAGGUGAAAGCCCAGGGCUCAACCUUGGAAUUGCCUUCAAAACUGAUAGCCUAGAGUAUGAUAGAGGUAUGUGGAACUCCGAGUGUAGAGGUGAAAUUCGUAGAUAUUCGGAAGAACACCAGUGGCGAAGGCGACAUACUGGGUCAUGACUGACGCUGAGGCUCGAAAGCGUGGGGAGCAAACAGGAUUAGAUACCCUGGUAGUCCACGCUGUAAACGAUGAUUGCUAGUUGUCGGACGGCAUGCCGUUCGGUGACGCNGCUACGACAUAGACAUCCGCCGCGGGUAGGUACGGUCGCGAGAAUAAACUAACGAAGAAGUAGACGGCGNGAGACGUGCCGACGACGACGACGAGGGAGGAGG
RNAcentral lists this ribosomal RNA (597 nucleotides) under uncultured bacterium. RNAcentral describes it as "bacterial SSU rRNA". The stretch from base 1 to 515 matches the Rfam family "Bacterial small subunit ribosomal RNA", at positions 338 to 873 of the family's 1533-position model. The record is from RNAcentral.